Ruditapes philippinarum (Manila clam) is the source of this 1028-nucleotide long non-coding RNA. RefSeq lists it as uncharacterized. The record is from RefSeq and is a predicted model, not a curated record. NCBI's taxonomy places the organism in Eukaryota, Metazoa, Mollusca, Bivalvia, Venerida, Veneridae. The transcript has 3 exons.
UUAUAGUUGGAAAUAGUGGAAACAUGGAUUUAUUUAAGCAAUUUUGGAGAUAUCUUGUUUUAAAUGUUAGGGAGCAUAUUAUGGAAUUUUCAAAGAAAACAUUUAUCUAAGUGUGACAAGAUUCAGGAAAUGUUUGGUUGUUGUAAUUGAACCUAAAGAUCAAUGACCUGAGACAGGAAGAUAAACAAAAGAAACAUAAUAGUAAAAAGGUUCAGAGUCAGCUUGAAAGCAAGUUUGCAGGUGUUCCAAACUACAAGAAGAUGGCAAUCCAGUCUCUUAUCAUAGCUAGUAUAAAGCAGAGGAAUAUACUGAAAAGUCAUUGGCAUUGGCACAAAGGAAGCCAACUGUAGACCAGGAAAGGCUUCAAGGAAUAUACUACAGAAUUGUAUCCAAGCAUUUUCCACAUGUGACCCCUGUGACGGUGAGGGAAAAACUUGGGGACACUUUAAAAUCAUGAAGAGUGAACAGGACUUCAAUAGAUUAAUAUUUGAAUAUAUAUAAAUUUGCCGGGUACCAAAAAAAUUAUAACUGAACAUUGAGUGUAAUAUUUACCAUUAAAGACUACUAACUUAAAUUUUCAUUUGUAGUGCAUUACUAUUUACUUCACUCUGACAUUAAAUGUUUCAGUGAGUCAUGUGAUCAUUAUUUGCUCUGUAGUAUUAUUAUAAAGAAAUUUAUUAAUUCUUUAAAAGGACAAUAUAAUUGCUCUUUUCAGAAUAUUUCAUUGGUUGUUAUAUUUUUGAUUUUCCAUGGAUAUUCUAGAAAUUUCCAAGGUUUUUGCUCAAGUAAACCUUGGAAAAUGAUCUUGAUGCUUUAGUAAGAAUCCUCAGGGAAAUAAUUACAGUAUUCCAGGUUUUGAGAAACUUUCCGAGGUUUUCAUUUAAAAACCUUGGAAAACAAACCACGGAAACACUUUAAAAAUCCUUGGAAAUUGUUCCAAUACUCCGAGGUCACUCAUUUUACAAGGUUUUCUAAAAAAAUCCUCGGAAAUUAUUUUACGAGGUUUUUAUUCUGAAAUCCUUGGAAAU